GGCCUGGAGGAAGUCACUUGGGAGAAUCAAGGAACCAAGCUCUGGGAAACCUGGUAUUUAAAAGCCAAGAAGAUAAGAGGUGGAGGGACACAGGAUCGGAACAGAAUGUGUCCUGAAAGACUGAAAAGUCCUUGAGCACAAGUAACACAUCUAAAUUAAAUGCAUUUGAAGAGCCUGGCACACUGUCAUCUCUCUAUGGAAAUCUCGACAUCUCUAAGGAUGGAGAUCUGGGCCGUGACCCUGUUUGCCCUUGCAGAAUCUGGGGUGGCCUGGAGUGAGAAGAUCAAGGCUCCGCCGCUGACCCCCUCUGCCACUCACAGGAUGUGAUUUGACUCUUCCCAUAAUAAAAAAAAAAAAAAAGGAAAGAAAGAAAGAACAAAGGAAGAAAGAAAGAAAGGCAUAUAUGAGUCUAUGAGAAGAGGCUGGAUGAGAGGUGGUCUCAACACUUUUGGUGUUAAGCUCAUGGGCCUGGAGGAAGUCACUUGGGAGAAUCAAGGAACCAAGCUCUGGGAAACCUGGUAUUUAAAAGCCAAGAAGAUAAGAGGUGGAGGGACACAGGAUCGGAACAGAAUGUGUCCUGAAAGGUGAGAAAGGAGUUUUCA
Suricata suricatta (meerkat) is the source of this 602-nucleotide long non-coding RNA. RefSeq lists it as uncharacterized. The record is from RefSeq and is a predicted model, not a curated record. NCBI's taxonomy places the organism in Eukaryota, Metazoa, Chordata, Mammalia, Carnivora, Herpestidae. The transcript is spliced from 3 exons.